GAAGAAUAUAUGAAAAUGACACAGCUGGAAGAUGUGGAAAGGUGGCUACAAAAUCUGUGCUGCAACAUGAAGAUUAUGUGUGAUGCAUGGAAAAAGAAGACAAAAUCAGAGUAGGAACAGAAAAAGCCACCUGAAAGCAAGUAGGAACAAAGCCAUUUCUUUAAUACUUCUGGCAGUUGAGGAAGUCAAGCUUCGACUCUCAAGCUGGAGUGUCCUGAGCACUUCACCAAACUGCUUUUUGACAUCAUUAGAGAACUGCACCUAAUUCUGCUGAGAGGGAAGGGUCUCUGGAGAGCAGAUUCCUGACCAGGGAUGAUUAAGGAGAGUGACAAGGAUACUCUGUCCACCGGCCCCCUGGAACUCCGUGCUGGCAAAGGCUGUAAUGCUGCUUCCUAGGUCAGCAGAACAGAGCCCCACCAUCCAUCAAGGAGGCCUGCUACAGACUCGGAUAUGGGGAGUGGGGGCAAGAGUGCAGAGAGGACUAGUUCAUGCGUUAAGGGGCUCCACGGAUGCGUUUCUGGGGUCCUUGUGCUCCACCAAUACUGGGUACAAAGUAGCAUGUGCACAUUUCUCCAGAACGGGAGUCCAGAGUUAUUAUGAAUUUUCAGUAAGAUUCUAAAUGGAGUCUACACAUCAUAGCUUUAGGAUCACACUAUGAGGUCAGGGGCCUAAACCUGGAGCUGGGACUGAUCCAGGGGCUCAUCUCCACCUGCUUAAUGGGAGAAGAAAGAGAUCUCAUCAGCAGACAAGUGUUUCUCCUUCCAUUCCGCAAAGCUGGCUGCCAUUACACUGUCUGAAAUUAGGGAUCUGGACUUCUCGGGAAGAGGGCUCUUUCAUAGUUGUUGAAGUUUAGGGAGGUAAUGAUAGUUAUUUCAUUCCCUUUCUUUUCGGUUCCAAGUACCCUACUCCUCUGGUAUUUUGCUCUGUCGUUCAGUUGAAAUCACGUUAGUGUAUUACAGGCUGAUCCAGCUGAGCACAUUCUGCAGAGAAAUGACAAGGAGCCUGGUGGUGGUAAAAAGCUCUCCCUAACGCCAGGUAGCAGCAUGGUGCAUUAGUGCUUCUUGAAGGACAGCUAGAGACCUGCUGUCAGUUUCUAAGUGCUGUGUCACCAUGGUUCCAAGGAAAAUUGUUUGUGUUAAUUAUCACCAAGGAGGGGCUACCUGGGCAGAGAGCUUCUGGUCCAUAAAGUGGCCUGGGAAGCUGGCUGGGUAAACUGAGAUGUUCUGACCCUUCUGCUAAUAAGCUUUUGAAGCCAUUCCUCUUGAAUGGAAGCUCCACAUUUCCACGGGGCUCAAGGCCACUUGGAGCUAACCACUCUACAGGAGUAACGAUUUCUAAGUUGUAAUGCUACUGUUAAAAAGUUUGUGAGCAAAACUUGCCAUGUGCAUAUGAUCAGAGGGAAGCCCUUUUGCAUUCCAACCUGUGUGAUCAUUUGAAAAUCUCUGUUUCCAUCAGGCCCUUGUGCUGAUGGCUGCUAUAGGGAUGCAGGGUUACUCACAGCCAGUGGGCAGUGUGAAACUCAAUAGUGGGCAAACAUCUAGUGUUCUGUAAUGUUCUAAUUAUCUUGUUGACUCUGAAUGUCUGGAUUCUGGGUUCUGACUCUCCUCCCCUCUAGCCCCCAGCAAAGAUGCUGAUGAACAUCUUGUGGGAGAAAAAGGAAAGGCCCUACUAUGCUUGAGUUAGAUAGAUGAAACUUUCUCCCUCCAAAUUUAUGACUCUCUUAGAUUUUUAACAGUGGAACUAUUAGGUCAAAUAAAGUGAGUUAUUUUGAGGCUUUUGAGAGCUAGGUUGGUUCCAAAGUACUGCGUCAGUUAUGGAAUUUAUUUCUGGUUAUAUGUUCUCCUUCGAGAAUUGUCUUUUAGGUAUUUUUUUCAUUUACCAUACCAGUUUUAGU
This is a long non-coding RNA of Zalophus californianus (California sea lion), 1894 nucleotides long. RefSeq lists it as uncharacterized. The transcript is spliced from 3 exons. Lineage: Eukaryota; Metazoa; Chordata; Mammalia; Carnivora; Otariidae. The record is from RefSeq and is a predicted model, not a curated record.